RNA transcript from Syngnathus acus (greater pipefish), 893 nucleotides. It is a transcript of the gene named MKRN2 opposite strand protein, with no coding region annotated. The transcript is spliced from 5 exons. The record is from RefSeq and is a predicted model, not a curated record. Lineage: Eukaryota; Metazoa; Chordata; Actinopteri; Syngnathiformes; Syngnathidae.
GUUCGCCUUCCCGCCCGCAUCCAUGGAGGAGCCCGACGUGAUCUGCGUACGGCACGAGUGCCUCAAGGACGUCUGCUGCUUCUCUGUGCCUCCCGCUUGUCCGGUUUGCGGCCGGCCCCUGGCAGGAAGAUUCCUGCGGGAGGCACCGCUCAGCAUCCCGGACCCGUUACUUGACGGACACAAGAUGGCCUGCUGCCUCCUGGUUGCGCCCACUGACCGCCACGCCGAUGGAGGCUUUGAUGGCACAUCGGAACUUCACGCAGGAAUCGCCAACACUUCAGGCGUGAUGUACAACUACACGGGGGCAGGCAUGCGCCGAGACCGCAGCGGCUGGCGCGCUUGCGUGAGCGUCCCACUUGUCAGACCAGACGCCUUCCGCCUCCUGGCCCAGUGGGACCAGCAUCUCGAGCGGUUCUCAUGCGCACCCCCAUGGGACCCCACCAGGCACAGGUACGCACACGCCCCAAUGAAGAGACUCGGGGCGCCUCUUAGCGGGAAGGUGCAUGGACAAAGGCCGUGGUCCCUAUUUCUGCGAAGACACACAAUUGCCUGACGUUCUGCGUGGAGUUUGUGAACAGCGUGUUGGUGGCGGAGGGCCUCGCCAGAGGUUGCGUGAGCAGAGACGCCUUCACGCGCACCCUGAUCGCACCCGCCGUAAGCCGAGUGUGUGAGUAUGCGGCGCUGCGCCGACGCAUUUGACAGCAACAAUUCCACGUGGCCCAGAGAUGGUCUUCGCCGGCUACUUGACUGCUUCCUCGUCUUUCCACUCGCACUUUCUCGACAUUGGUCUGGACGCACAAAUGUGAAAUGAGUAAAGAAAUCAGCAGUUGCUUUUUCGACAGUGCUUGUUUUUGUUUGUCCUCACACCCAGAGGACGGAAUCGCAGCCAGCUU